This 897-nucleotide ribosomal RNA is filed under the name Triticum aestivum (bread wheat). RNAcentral's name for it is "partial small subunit ribosomal RNA". The record is from RNAcentral. Lineage: Eukaryota; Viridiplantae; Streptophyta; Magnoliopsida; Poales; Poaceae.
AUGGUCCUGAUCUGCUAUGGCAUCCAGUAUCUCAUCGAACACCCUCUUCCACCCAACGCCGACAGUCAGUAUCGUGAACUUGACACCCGCGUCGCCCUCGCCAUGUACGCCGCCCUCUCCAAUCAGAUCGUUGACCACGUGAUCGGCGCCACCACCACUUUCGAUCUCUGGACCCGGAUCCGGGACUACUUCCUCGCCAAUCACGCGGCUCGCUACAUGACGCUCAACCGCCAAUACCGCAACCUUAAACAGGGCGAUCUCUCCGUCGACGAGUAUGCGCGACGCAUGAAGCUGCUCACUGCGGGUCUCGCCGACAUCGACCACGCGGUCUCCGAGGUGGACCUCACCACGCAGUUCCUCCACGGUAUUGACGGCCGUCUCGACACCAUCCGGGUCGUGCUGGGGGACACGGUUCCCCUGCCCCCGUUCGAGACCGUCUUCUCGCGCCUGAAGCUCGCCGAGGAGAACCUCGCUCAGCGCACCGCAGAGGCCCCGGCCACGGUCCUUGCCGUUCAAGGGUUCGGCGGCCCGUCCGGUGCCUCCGGCUCCAACAGCGGCGUGGGCUCUACUUCCCACUCGGGCGAUCGGGUGGAUCGGCCUCAGGAUCGGGUGGACCGCGCUCCCGGCCGCGACUACAACCCUCGCGGCGACGGUGGUGACCGUGGGGGCGAUCGCGGUGGUGACCGCGGACGCGGGCGCGGCCGUGGCCGUGGUCGUGGCCGCGGCGGCCAGCAAGGACGUGGCGGCUCGUCUUCUGCGCCGUUCAACCCUUACAUGGGGUUCUUCGCCCCGUACGGCAUGGCCAUCCCUCCACCGCGCCCUGGCUGGGUGCCACCGAACGUGGCUGGCGUCCUCGGUCCACGUCCGGGGUCUCAUGCUCAGGCGUACCCGAUGUAG